Molecule: ribosomal RNA, 434 nt
Filed under: uncultured bacterium
Lineage: Bacteria
Description: partial 16S ribosomal RNA
Rfam family: Bacterial small subunit ribosomal RNA
Source: RNAcentral
AGCGAACGCUGGCGGCAGGCCUAACACAUGCAAGUCGAACGAACCUUUCGGGGUUAGUGGCGGACGGGUGAGUAACACGUGGGAACGUGCCUUUAGGUUCGGAAUAACUCAGGGAAACUUGUGCUAAUACCGAAUGUGCCCUUCGGGGGAAAGAUUAAUCGCCUUUAGAGCGGCCCGCGUCUGAUUAGCUAGUUGGUUGAGGUAAUGGCUCACCAAGGCGACGAUCAGUAGCUGGUCUGAGAGGAUGAUCAGACACAUUGGGACUGAGACACGGCCCAAACUCCUACGGGAGGCAGGAGUGGGGAAUCUUGCGAAAUGGGCGAAAGCCUGACGCAGCCAUGCCGCGUGAAUGAUGAAGGUCUUAGGAUUGUAAAAUUCUUUCACCGGGGACGAUAAUGACGGUACCCGGAGAAGAAGCCCCGGCUAACUUCGUG